CCUUGUACACACCGCCCGUCACACCAUGGGAGUUGGUUUCACCCGAAGGCGCUACGCUAACCGUAAGGAGGCAGGCGACCACGGUGGGAUCAGCGACUGGGGUG
Molecule: ribosomal RNA, 104 nt
Filed under: uncultured bacterium
Lineage: Bacteria
Description: partial 16S ribosomal RNA
Rfam family: Bacterial small subunit ribosomal RNA
Source: RNAcentral